RNAcentral lists this ribosomal RNA (1020 nucleotides) under Pleospora rosae-caninae. Its description in RNAcentral is "SSU rRNA". It matches the Rfam family "Eukaryotic small subunit ribosomal RNA", at positions 75 to 1104 of the family's 1831-position model. The record is from RNAcentral. Lineage: Eukaryota; Fungi; Ascomycota; Dothideomycetes; Pleosporales; Pleosporaceae.
UAUACCGUGAAACUGCGAAUGGCUCAUUAAAUCAGUUAUCGUUUAUUUGAUAAUACCUUACUACUUGGAUAACCGUGGUAAUUCUAGAGCUAAUACAUGCUGAAAACCCCGACUUCGGAAGGGAUGUGUUUAUUAGAUAAAAAACCAAUGCCCUUCGGGGCUUUUUGGUGAUUCAUGAUAACUUUACGGAUCGCAUAGCCUUGCGCUGGCGACGGUUCAUUCAAAUUUCUGCCCUAUCAACUUUCGAUGGUAAGGUAUUGGCUUACCAUGGUUUCAACGGGUAACGGGGAAUUAGGGUUCGAUUCCGGAGAGGGAGCCUGAGAAACGGCUACCACAUCCAAGGAAGGCAGCAGGCGCGCAAAUUACCCAAUCCCGACACGGGGAGGUAGUGACAAUAAAUACUGAUACAGGGCUCUUUUGGGUCUUGUAAUUGGAAUGAGUACAAUUUAAACCUCUUAACGAGGAACAAUUGGAGGGCAAGUCUGGUGCCAGCAGCCGCGGUAAUUCCAGCUCCAAUAGCGUAUAUUAAAGUUGUUGCAGUUAAAAAGCUCGUAGUUGAAACUUGGGCCUGGCUGGCGGGUCCGCCUCACCGCGUGCACUCGUCCGGCCGGGCCUUCCUUCUGAAGAACCUCAUGCCCUUCACUGGGCGUGUUGGGGAAUCAGGACUUUUACUUUGAAAAAAUUAGAGUGUUCAAAGCAGGCCUUUGCUCGAAUACGUUAGCAUGGAAUAAUAAAAUAGGGCGUGCGUUUCUAUUUUGUUGGUUUCUAGAGACGCCGCAAUGAUUAACAGGAACAGUCGGGGGCAUCAGUAUUCAGUUGUCAGAGGUGAAAUUCUUGGAUUUACUGAAGACUAACUACUGCGAAAGCAUUUGCCAAGGAUGUUUUCAUUAAUCAGUGAACGAAAGUUAGGGGAUCGAAGACGAUCAGAUACCGUCGUAGUCUUAACCGUAAACUAUGCCGACUAGGGAUCGGGCGAUGUUCUUUUUCUGACUCGCUCGGCACCUUACGAGAAAUCAAAGU